Molecule: small nuclear RNA, 108 nt
Filed under: Myotis davidii
Lineage: Eukaryota; Metazoa; Chordata; Mammalia; Chiroptera; Vespertilionidae
Source: RNAcentral
GUGCUCACUUCGGCAGUAUAUAUAGGUACUGAAAUUAGAAUGAUACAGAGAUUAGCAUGACCCCUACACAAGGAUGACAUGCAAAUUUGUGAAACAGUCUAUAUCUAC